Molecule: non-coding RNA, 23 nt
Filed under: Mus musculus (house mouse)
Lineage: Eukaryota; Metazoa; Chordata; Mammalia; Rodentia; Muridae
Source: RNAcentral
UGCAGCAGAGCCCCAGCAGUUAC